CACCGGCGGCUCGAGUGGUGGCCACUUUUAUUGGGUCUAAAGCGUCCGUAGCCGGCUUGGCAAGUCCCCUGGGAAAUCUGGCGGCUUAACCGUCAGGCGUCCAGAGGAUACUGCCAGGCUUGGGACCGGGAGAGGUGAGAGGUACCUCAGGGGUAGGGGUGAAAUCUUGUGAUCCCUGAGGGACCACCAGUGGCGAAGGCAGCCCCCUGGGCCUGUACUGACGCUCAUGCACGAAAGCGUGGGGAGCAAACAGG
RNAcentral lists this ribosomal RNA (254 nucleotides) under uncultured microorganism. Its description in RNAcentral is "partial 16S ribosomal RNA". It matches the Rfam family "Archaeal small subunit ribosomal RNA", at positions 474 to 727 of the family's 1478-position model. The record is from RNAcentral.